AGCCACUGCACCUUCAUCAUCAUCUUCUUCCAGAUCACGGUUGCACCCCCUUACCCCCGAACCGACAGACGCAAGGGAAACCAAGGGAACAUAGAGAAGAGGAGAUAAUAAAAAGCAAGAACAAGAGACUAUACAAAAGGCCACAGGAGAACGAAACACACACAAAAACAGGAACCAGAGCUUUUCUUUCUUUCUUUGAGAACAGAGGUGUGAAGAUAGGUGGAGGUGCCUACUUUGGGUGGAGGUGCCUACCUUGGUGGAGGAGGUGCCUACCUUGGGUGGAGGUGCCUACCUUGGUGGAGGAGGUGCCUACCUUGGUGGAGGAGGUGCCUACCUUAGGUGGAGGAGGUGCCUACCUUAGGUGGAGGUGCUUUAACCAACUUGGCCACUUACUCUUGCAUGGAUGCUUGCCUAUAAAUAGGCAAUGCAUCCAAGCAUUGAAAACACACCACAAGAGAGAAACAAGAGAGGAAGAGAAGAGUGAGAGAGGGAAAGUAAUCCCACAAAAUUGUGAGGUAUUUGUGAGAGAGUAAGUGAGGUGUUUUCUCCUAGUAAUAGAGAGAUUCUUAGUUGUUCUCCUAUUAUUUGAGAGAGGUUGUAAUUCCCACAUUACUAGUAAAAUCCUUCUAUACUUGCCCGUGGACGUAGCCUAAUUGGGUGAACCACGUAAAUUCUUGUGUGUCACUUCUCAUUUUAUCUUGUCCCUUACCUUUUGUCUUGUCGGGUUUGCAUGCCAGUAUCCUAACAGUGGUAUCAGAGCCUUCUUGGUUGGUGUUGUUAACACACAAAAGUUAUUCGUGUAUACGGUCACUAUUCACGUCUACGGCACUAUUCACCUAUACUGCACUAUUCAUCCAUACGGUACUGUUCACUUACGUUACUGUUGGCGUAUAUAGAAAGUCAGUGCGGUGAUUAAAUACAGUCUAGGAAGUUCUGUCUAAGGAGAUUGGGUUUUAAGCGGGACCGUUUGUGACCCCUCCAAUCUUUCCUGGGAACUUACUUAGUGAAGUAUUAUUCACACGAUACUAUUUCUAUAUACGUUACAGAUCUGUGAAACGGUGAUAGCUGAAUAGAUCUCGGUGAAUACAAUGGCAGCAAAGUACGAGAUUGAGAGGUUCAAGGGGAGCAAUUUCUCACUGUGGAAAAUGAGAAUCAAGGCAAUCUUGAGGAAAGACAAUUGCUUGGCAGCAAUUGGGGAUCGGCCCGCGGAGAUCACUGAUAAUGCAAAAUGGAAUGAGAUGGAUGGCAAUGCUAUUGCUAACAUACAUUUAGCAUUAGCUGAUGAAGUAUUAUCAAGUGUGGCGGAGAAGAAAACAGCUAAGGAGAUAUGGGAGACUCUAACAAAGCUAUACGAGUCCAAGUCUUUGCACAUAAGAUUUUCUUAAAGCGGAGACUUUAUACCCUUCGAAUGGCAGAAACCACGUCGGUGACUGACCACAUCAACACAAUAAGAACUCUAUUUUCACAACUCACUAUUGGGUCAACAAAUAGAGGAAAUGAACGUGCAGAGCUUCUACUUCAAAGUCUUCCUGAUUCGUAUGAUCAGCUCAUUAUCAACUUGACCAAUAAUAUCCUCUCAGACUAUUUAGUCUUCGAUGAUGUUGCAGCUAUCUUGGAAGAAGAAAAUAGGCGCAAAAACAAAGGAGACAGAAACAGUUCAAACCAAGCUGAGGCAUUGUUAUCAAGAGGAAGAUCAACGGAACGUGGCUCAGUGGGAGUCAAAGGCAGGGGAGGUCCAAAUCAAGAAGUAAGAAGUUGUGAAAUGCUACAACUGUGGCAGAAAAGGGCACUUCAAAAAGGAUUGUUGGUUUAAAAAGGGUAUAGAGAAUACUGCAGAGUCAUCAAACCUCAAGGAUGUGUUGCAAGCACCUCAGAAGAUGGGAGAUUUUAUAUAGUGAAGCAGCAACAAUCUCUACAGAUAGAGAAGAGCUCACUGAGGUCUGGCUAAUGGAUUCAGGAGCAACAUGGCAUAUGACCCCUAGACGAGAUUGGUUCCAUACAUAUGAACCUAUCUCUGGAGGCACAGUGUUCAUGGGUGAUAAUCAUGCUGUAGAGAUUUCUGGCAUUGGCACCAUCAAAUUGAAGAUGUAUGAUGGCUUAAUUCGUACUAUUUCAGGAGUGCGACAUGUGAAAGACUUAAAGAAGAAUCUUUUGUCCGUAGGACAAUUUGAUAGUCUUGGCUGUAAGAUCCGAACAGACAAUGGAAUCAUGAAAAUUGUCAAAGGCGCGCUGGUGGUUUUAAAGGCAAGAAAGACAGUUGCAAACAUGUUUGUAUUAAUGGGAGAAACACAUCGGAGGCAGAAGCAUCAAUCGCAUCAGCCAGUCCUGCAGAAGAGAAGACGAUGAUGUGGCAUCAAAAACUAGGCCACAUGUCAGAGAAAGGUUUAAAGGUUCUCUCUGAUCAGAAGUUACUCCCUGGGCUUACAAAGGUUACUUUACCUUUUUGUGAGCACUGUGUUACAAGUAAACAACACAGGUUGAAGUUUGGCACGUCAACAACUAAGAGCAAAUGCAUCUUAGACCUGAUUCACUCUGAUGUUUGGCAAGCACCGGUUGUAUCCUUGGGAGGAGCAAGAUACUUUGUAUCAUUCAUAGAUGACUUCUCCAGGAGAUGUUGGGUGUAUCCGAUUAGAAGGAAGGCAGAUGUGUUCGCAGUUUUUAAAACCUUCAAAGCGCGGGUAGAACUUGAAUCUGAAAAGAAGAUCAAGUGUUUGAGGACUGACAAUGGAGGAGAAUAUACCAGUGAUGAAUUUGAUAACUUCUGUCAACAUGAAGGUAUCAAAAGGCAGUUCACAACGGCAUACACUCCACAACAAAAUGGAGUGGCAGAGCGGAUGAACAGAACUCUAUUGGAAAGAACAAGAGCAAUGUUGAAGGCUGCAGGUCUAGAAAAGUCAUUCUGGGCAGAAGCAGUCAAUACCGCCUGUUAUGUGAUAAAUCGAUCUCCGUCAACUGCAAUCGAGUUGAAGACACCGAUGGAGAUGUGGACUGGAAAGCCAACUGAUUAUUCUCGAUUGCAUAUAUUUGGAAGUCCUGUGUACGUGAUGUACAAUACUCAAGAGGUCAGCAAGCUGGAUUCAAAAUCCAGAAAAUGUGUAUUCUUGGGAUAUGCUGAUGGAGUGAAGGGGUAUCGCUUGUGGGAUCCCACUGCCCACAAGGUAGUCAUCAGCAGAGAUGUCAUAUUUGCAGAAGAUAAAAUGCAAAUGGAAGAAAAUAAUAGCAUUUUAAAGGAGACUACAGAAGUCCAGAUGGAAAAUACUCAGAAUCAUACUUCUUCUGAAGCUGCACCAGAGCAUGAAGAACAAGAACAAAUAGAGUCUGAAACUCCUGAAGUUCGACGGUCAACUCGUGAAAGAAGACCACCGGCUUGGCACUCAGAAUAUGUUACUGAGAGCAAUAUUGCAUACUGUCUUCUAACAGAGGAUGGAGAGCCAUCAACUUUCCAUGAGGCUAUCAAAAGCACAGAUGUAUCUAUGUGGAUGACAGCAAUGCAAGAGGAGAUUGAAGCUCUGCACAAGAAUAACACUUGGGAUCUUGUUCCGCUACCACAAGGAAGAAAGGCCAUUGGCAACAAAUGGGUUUACAAGAUAAAGCGUGAUGGCAAUGAUCAAGUGGAGCGGUAUCGUGCAAGAUUGGUGGUGAAAGGAUAUGCUCAGAAAGAAGGAAUAGACUUUAAUGAGAUAUUUUCUCCGGUGGUACGACUUACUACAAUCAGAGUAGUCUUGGCAAUGUGUGCUAUAUUUGAUCUUCACUUAGAGCAGUUAGAUGUGAAAACUGCAUUUCUUCAUGGAGAACUUGAAGAAGAAAUUUAUAUGCUCCAACCAGAGGGUUUUGCUGAAACAGGCAAAGAGAACUUGGUUUGCAGGUUGAACAAAUCUCUAUACGGUCUCAAACAGGCGCCGAGGUGUUGGUACAAGAGAUUUGAUUCCUUCAUAAUUAGCCUUGGGUACAACAGACUCAGUUCAGACCAUUGUACGUAUUACAAGAGGUUUGAAGAAAAUGAUGUUUUCAUCAUUCUGUUGUUGUACGUGGAUGACAUGUUGGUAAUAGGCCCCAACAAAGAUCGAGUCCAAGAAUUGAAGGCACAGUUGGCUAGGGAGUUUGAUAUGAAGGACUUGGGACCAGCAAACAAGAUUCUAGGGAUGCAAAUUCACCGAGACAGAAGUAAGAGGAAGAUUUGGCUUUCUCAGAAGAAUUAUUUGAAGAAGAUCUUGCGACGCUUCAACAUGCAAGAUUGUAAGCCAAUUUCCACCCCACUUCCUGUUAACUUCAAAUUAUCCUCAAGUAUGUCUCCUAGCAAUGAAGCAGAGAGGAUGGAGAUGUCUCGAGUACCGUAUGCAUCAGCAGUGGGAAGUUUAAUGUUUGCCAUGAUAUGUACAAGACCAGACAUUGCACAAGCAGUGGGAGCAGCUAGUCGAUACAUGGCAAAUCCUGGUAGAGAGCAUUGGAAUACUAUUAAGAGGAUCUUGAGAUACAUCAAGGGUACCUCAGAUGCCGCAUUAUGUUAUGGAGGAUCAGAAUUUACUAUCAGAGGUUAUGUUGACUCAGAUUUUGCUGGUGACCUUGAGAAAAGAAAAUCCACUACAGGCUAUGUGUUCAUAAUUGCAGGAGGAGCUGUGAGCUGGGUCUCUAAACUUCAGACUGUUGUAGCGUUAUCCACAACAGAAGCUGAGUAUAUGGCAGCUACACAGCUUGUAAAGAAGCAAUAUGGCUGAAGAAACUUAUGGAGGAGCUCGGGCACAAACAAGAGAAGAUUCUUUUGUAUUGUGAUAGUCAGAGUGCCUUGCAUAUUGCAAGGAAUCCAGCGUUUCAUUCAAGAACAAAACAUAUAGAUGUUCAGUAUCACUUUGUUCGCGAAGUGGUGGAAGAUGGAAGUGUGGAUUUUCAGAAGGUUCACACAAAGGAAAACCCAGCAGAUGCUUUAACCAAACCAGUCAACACUGAUAAGUAUAUAUGGUGCAGAUCCUCUUGUGGCCUAGCAGCAACGUAAGCAGCAUGAAGAUGGCAAGUAUUGAAAGGAUAGAAGAAUCACAAAUGAUGAAGUGUGAAGACUUGAUUCAAUCAUCAAAGUCUUCAAGUGGGAGAAUGUGAAGAUAGGUGGAGGUGCCUACCUUGGGUGGAGGUGCCUACCUUGGUGGAGGAGGUGCCUAC
This 5151-nucleotide long non-coding RNA is filed under the name Populus tremula. RNAcentral's name for it is "long non-coding RNA (PTRE_LNC002980)". The record is from RNAcentral. Lineage: Eukaryota; Viridiplantae; Streptophyta; Magnoliopsida; Malpighiales; Salicaceae.